Long non-coding RNA from Pseudophryne corroboree (corroboree frog), 786 nucleotides. RefSeq lists it as uncharacterized. Lineage: Eukaryota; Metazoa; Chordata; Amphibia; Anura; Myobatrachidae. The transcript is spliced from 2 exons. The record is from RefSeq and is a predicted model, not a curated record.
GUUCAUCUAAAUGGUUAAUGUCCUUGUGCUCCUAACUGUCAAUCACCUAGUGGGGUGAUUGCCAGUGGGCGGGGCAUCACCUCAGAGUGGGUCAUGUGACUACUAGAGAGGGGUGGAUAGGUGCUGUCAGUGUAGCUGAGAAGGAGACUGCAGAUCCUCUGGUGAGAGCACACACCUCAUUGCUGCUCCGGCCGUCGCCCACAUUAGAGCUGAGUGGUAUACAUUGCGGCGGCCGGAGGGGGCUUAGUGUGUGAAGCCAGAGCAGAGCUUCCUGGCAGUAAAGGUGGCGUCAACGGCAUUGAGGCUCAGCACUGUUCACAGAACCCGGCAUCAGUGUUAGUCAAAUCAACCAGCAGUAUUAGAAGGGCGCGUCUGUGACAGGGAGGCGGAGAGGGUUCCUUCCUGUACCCCGAGUUAUGGCAUCUCUACCUACUACAGACACAGACUCUGACAGUCACAACACAGAAGCAGCAGAGGCUCCAUUCUGUGUGGCUGUAAGUGUAAGGGAGAAGUUGGGGGAGUGUCGGCAGGAGGCGGAGACUGAGCAGCAGUGAGGCAUUUAUCAGUUAUUAUGUGGGCAUUCCAACUUCUACCAAUGAUGAUGUCUCAGCUUGUGUGUGCCCUCCUGCAAUCUGUCAUACUGUAGCUUUUUCUCUCUAGCCAUAUAUUAUUUUUAACAUUCCAUUCAGCUCUAUUUAUUGGCCGUCUUGGAACAAAAUAGCUCUGAUUUGACAAAUGCACUGAAUACAUUUUUUGAUAGCAAAAUAAACUAUAUAUAUUUUGAAA